This is a long non-coding RNA of Pocillopora damicornis (cauliflower coral), 439 nucleotides long. RefSeq lists it as uncharacterized. The record is from RefSeq and is a predicted model, not a curated record. Lineage: Eukaryota; Metazoa; Cnidaria; Anthozoa; Scleractinia; Pocilloporidae.
UAUUAAUCGUAGCGUGCUUUCCUCGUUCGGUGAUUUUUCCAUAUUAUUGAGACCAAGCUUUGAUGAACUUCUUUCUUGUGACUUGGUUAGGCAUGUGCCCAUAAUCAUUCAAAAUCACACAAAAACGAAAGACAAAGAAAGCCAAGAAACAUAGGAAAGGGUCAAGAUCUCGAUCGCCCAGUGGGGAGUCGUCUCAAUCUGAGGAAGAAUUUUCCAAAGAAAAAACAUCGUCACACGAAAAGAAACAUCACAAGCGGUCAUGCUUUAAGUCACCAGAAUCAUCUGCUUCCGAAUCGGAACCAGAAAAAGAACUAAGUUCAUCAAAAAAGAAAAAGCAUAAGAAGGUGAGAUUUGAGCUACCUUAUAGACAUCUAUCUUCAUUGAAGUUGACACUCUUUUGACUUGUGUCACAACACACUUGUCCUUCAUGUUUUUUUCC